RNAcentral lists this ribosomal RNA (467 nucleotides) under uncultured bacterium. RNAcentral's name for it is "partial 16S ribosomal RNA". It matches the Rfam family "Bacterial small subunit ribosomal RNA", at positions 28 to 506 of the family's 1533-position model. The record is from RNAcentral.
GACGAACGCUGGCGGCGUGCUUAACACAUGCAAGUCGAACGGAAAGGCCCUGCUUUUGUGGGGUGCUCGAGUGGCGAACGGGUGAGUAACACGUGAGUAACCUGCCCUUGACUUUGGGAUAGCUUCAGGAAACUGGGGCUAAUACCGGAUAGGAGCUCCUGCUGCAUGGUGGGGGUUGGAAAGUUUCGGCGGUUGGAGAUGGACUCGCGGCUUAUCAGCUUGUUGGUGGGGUAGUGGCUUACCAAGGCUUUGACGGGUAGCCGGCCUGAGAGGGUGACCGGCCACAUUGGGACUGAGAUACGGCCCAGACUCCUACGGGAGGCAGCAGUGGGGAAUAUUGCACAAUGGGCGGAAGCCUGAUGCAGCAACGCCGCGUGCGGGAUGACGGCCUUCGGGUUGUAAACCGCUUUCGCCUGUGACGAAGCGUGAGUGACGGUAAUGGGUAAAGAAGCACCGGCUAACUACGU